Molecule: ribosomal RNA, 997 nt
Filed under: human gut metagenome
Description: bacterial SSU rRNA
Rfam family: Bacterial small subunit ribosomal RNA
Source: RNAcentral
AGCAGCCGCGGUAAUACGUAGGUGGCGAGCGUUAUCCGGAAUCAUUGGGCGUAAAGGGUGCGUAGGUGGCACGAUAAGUCUGUAGUAAAAGGCAGCGGCUCAACCGCUGUUGGCUAUGGAAACUGUCGAGCUGGAGUGCAGAAGAGGGCGAUGGAAUUCCAUGUGUAGCGGUAAAAUGCGUAGAUAUAUGGAGGAACACCAGUGGCGAAGGCGGCCGCCUGGUCUGCAACUGACACUGAAGCACGAAAGCGUGGGGAGCAAAUAGGAUUAGAUACCCUAGUAGUCCACGCCGUAAACGAUGAGAACUAAGUGUUGGGGAAACUCAGUGCUGCAGUUAACGCAAUAAGUUCUCCGCCUGGGGAGUAUGCACGCAAGUGUGAAACUCAAAGGAAUUGACGGGGGCCCGCACAAGCGGUGGAGUAUGUGGUUUAAUUCGAAGCAACGCGAAGAACCUUACCAGGCCUUGACAUGGAGAUAAAGGCCCUGGAGACAGGGAGAUAGAUAUAUCUCACACAGGUGGUGCAUGGUUGUCGUCAGCUCGUGUCGUGAGAUGUUGGGUUAAGUCCCGCAACGAGCGCAACCCUUGUUUCUAGUUACCAACAGUAAGAUGGGGACUCUAGAGAGACUGCCGGUGACAAACCGGAGGAAGGUGGGGAUGACGUCAAAUCAUCAUGCCCCUUAUGGCCUGGGCUACACACGUACUACAAUGGCGGUUACAAAGGGCAGCGACCCUGUGAGGGGGAGCGAAUCCCGGAAAGACCGUCUCAGUUCGGAUUGAAGUCUGCAACCCGACUUCAUGAAGUUGGAAUCGCUAGUAAUCGCGAAUCAGCAUGUCGCGGUGAAUACGUUCUCGGGCCUUGUACACACCGCCCGUCAAACCAUGGGAGUUGGCAAUACCCGAAGCCGGUGGCAUAACCAAAUGGAGUGAGCCGUCGAAGGUAGGGCCGAUGACUGGGGUUAAGUCGUAACAAGGUAUCCCUACGGGAACGUGGGGAUG